This 447-nucleotide ribosomal RNA is filed under the name uncultured bacterium. Its description in RNAcentral is "bacterial SSU rRNA". It matches the Rfam family "Bacterial small subunit ribosomal RNA", at positions 64 to 507 of the family's 1533-position model. The record is from RNAcentral.
GAGCGGUAACGCGGGAGCAAUCCUGGCGACGAGCGGCGGACGGGUGAGCAAUGCUUGGGAAUCUGCCCAGUAGUGGGGGACAACCCGGGGAAACUCGGGCUAAUACCGCAUACGUCCUACGGGAGAAAGCGGGGGUCGCAAGACCUCGCGCUAUUGGAUGAGCCCAAGUCGGAUUAGCUAGUUGGUGGGGUAAAGGCCCACCAAGGCGACGAUCCGUAGCUGGUCUGAGAGGACGACCAGCCACACCGGAACUGAGACACGGUCCGGACUCCUACGGGAGGCAGCAGUGGGGAAUAUUGGACAAUGGGGGCAACCCUGAUCCAGCGACGCCGCGUGGGUGAAGAAGGCCUGCGGGUUGUAAAGCCCUUUCGGUGGGGAAGAAAAGUUCCGACCUAACACGUCGGGACCUUGACGUUACCCACAGAAGAAGCACCGGCUAACUCUGUG